AAGCCAGACUCCUACGGGAGGCAGCAGUGGGGGAUAUUGCACAAUGGGGGGAACCCUGAUGCAGCGACGCCGCGUGGGUGAAGGAGCGUUUCGGCGCGUAAAGCCCUAUCGGCAGGGAAGAAGGAGGACGGUACCUGACUAAGAAGCCCCGGCUAACUACGUGCCAGCAGCCGCGGUAAUACGUAGGGGGCAAGCGUUAUCCGGAUUUACUGGGUGUAAAGGGGGCGCAGACGGCGAUGCAAGCCAGGAGUGAAAGCCCGGGGCCCAACCCCGGGACUGCUCUUGGAACUGCGUGGCUAGAGUGCAGGAGGGGCAGGCGGAAUUCCUGGUGUAGCGGUGAAAUGCGUAGAUAUCAGGAGGAACACCGGUGGCGAAGGCGGCCUGCUGGACUGCAACUGACGUUGAGGCCCGAAAGCGUGGGGAGCAAACAGGAUUAGAUACCCCUGUAC
Molecule: ribosomal RNA, 449 nt
Filed under: uncultured bacterium
Lineage: Bacteria
Description: partial 16S ribosomal RNA
Rfam family: Bacterial small subunit ribosomal RNA
Source: RNAcentral